RNAcentral lists this ribosomal RNA (207 nucleotides) under uncultured bacterium. Its description in RNAcentral is "partial 16S ribosomal RNA". It matches the Rfam family "Bacterial small subunit ribosomal RNA", at positions 568 to 774 of the family's 1533-position model. The record is from RNAcentral.
CAUGUAGGCGGAUUAAUAAGUUUGAAGUGAAAUCCUAUAGCUUAACUAUAGAACUGCUUUGAAAACUGUUAAUCUAGAAUGUGGGAGAGGUAGAUGGAAUUUCUGGUGUAGGGGUAAAAUCCGUAGAGAUCAGAAGGAAUACCGAUUGCGAAGGCAAUCUACUGGAACAUUAUUGACGCUGAGAUGCGAAAGCGUGGGGAGCAAACA